This 71-nucleotide ribosomal RNA is filed under the name Cytobacillus oceanisediminis. RNAcentral describes it as "Bacillus oceanisediminis partial 16S ribosomal RNA". It matches the Rfam family "Bacterial small subunit ribosomal RNA", at positions 1 to 69 of the family's 1533-position model. The record is from RNAcentral. Lineage: Bacteria; Bacillati; Bacillota; Bacilli; Caryophanales; Bacillaceae.
CUUAUAUGGAGAGUUUGAUCCUGGCUCAGGACGAACGCUGGCGGCGUGCCUAAUACAUGCAAGUCGAGCGG